GCCUGGGUGGCUCAGUCGGUUGAGCAUCCGACUUCAGCUCAGGUCACGAUCUCGCAGUCCGCGAGUUCGAGCCCCGCUUCGGGCU
RNAcentral lists this transfer RNA (85 nucleotides) under Felis catus (domestic cat). It matches the Rfam family "tRNA". Rfam says of the family: Transfer RNA (tRNA) molecules are approximately 80 nucleotides in length. Their secondary structure includes four short double-helical elements and three loops (D, anti-codon, and T loops). Lineage: Eukaryota; Metazoa; Chordata; Mammalia; Carnivora; Felidae. The record is from Rfam by way of RNAcentral.